GACAAGAGCAGGAAGUAGGGAACAAACACAGAAGGCUAACGGCACCAGGAAAAGACUAUAAAGUACAAGCAGAACAUAAUCAAACAAGGCAUGAACAGGGAAAACCAAAAACAGGAAUACAAAGCAAAGACAUGGAAGACAAUGCUGAACAAAAAAGAAAAAUAAAACCAAAGGAUGAGGCUGGGCUCUGACCCUCUGUGGGCAAGAAAGGAACACCACGUUGUGGUGAGGAAGGUUGCCCAGUACAUUGCCUUGUUGGGACAACGUCCAGGAGAACCUGCUUACCAGUAGAGCGGAUUUGGUAACCUACAUAUCAAGGUUUCAAUGGGACAUGGUGAAGUAUCCCAUCACACAGUCUCGACGGUCAAAAUCUCCAAGGUGAGUCCGCAGGGGCACGUCCACGAUGGUGCAGCCUCUUUUGGCCAUAGUUACUAAAUCGUGUCAUGGUGUCUCGGCCUCUGAUGGGCUGUCUAUUUUCUCCUGCGCUGGGCAGCAAGUAACACAGAUCGCCACCUAUCUUCAGGCCAAGGCAUCGCACUACAAUGCCCUGAGCUGGAAUGUCCAGUAUUCUUUCAAAAAAGAAAAAAAAACAGAGUCAAGCCCCAGGGAAGCUUGAUUUAGCCUCUGAUCUUUUCAAUAGCAUUUCAAUACAUGUAGAAUAUUUAGA
This is a long non-coding RNA of Paramormyrops kingsleyae, 667 nucleotides long. RefSeq lists it as uncharacterized. NCBI's taxonomy places the organism in Eukaryota, Metazoa, Chordata, Actinopteri, Osteoglossiformes, Mormyridae. The record is from RefSeq and is a predicted model, not a curated record.